CCUCGGAGAGUUUGAUCCUGGCUCAGGACGAACGCUGGCGGCGUGCCUAAUACAUGCAAGUCGAGCGAACAGAAGGGAGCUUGCUCCCGGAUGUUAGCGGCGGACGGGUGAGUAACACGUGGGUAACCUGCCUGUAAGACUGGGAUAACUCCGGGAAACCGGAGCUAAUACCGGAUAGUUCCUUGAACCGCAUGGUUCAAGGAUGAAAGACGGUUUCGGCUGUCACUUACAGAUGGACCCGCGGCGCAUUAGCUAGUUGGUGGGGUAAUGGCUCACCAAGGCGACGAUGCGUAGCCGACCUGAGAGGGUGAUCGGCCACACUGGGACUGAGACACGGCCCAGACUCCUACGGGAGGCAGCAGUAGGGAAUCUUCCGCAAUGGACGAAAGUCUGACGGAGCAACGCCGCGUGAGUGAUGAAGGUUUUCGGAUCGUAAAGCUCUGUUGUUAGGGAAGAACAAGUGCGAGAGUAACUGCUCGCACCUUGACGGUACCUAACCAGAAAGCCACGGCUAACUACGUGCCAGCAGCCGCGGUAAUACGUAGGUGGCAAGCGUUGUCCGGAAUUAUUGGGCGUAAAGGGCUCGCAGGCGGUUUCUUAAGUCUGAUGUGAAAGCCCCCGGCUCAACCGGGGAGGGUCAUUGGAAACUGGGAAACUUGAGUGCAGAAGAGGAGAGUGGAAUUCCACGUGUAGCGGUGAAAUGCGUAGAGAUGUGGAGGAACACCAGUGGCGAAGGCGACUCUCUGGUCUGUAACUGACGCUGAGGAGCGAAAGCGUGGGGAGCGAACAGGAUUAGAUACCCUGGUAGUCCACGCCGUAAACGAUGAGUGCUAAGUGUUAGGGGGUUUCCGCCCCUUAGUGCUGCA
This 866-nucleotide ribosomal RNA is filed under the name Bacillus pumilus. RNAcentral describes it as "bacterial SSU rRNA". It matches the Rfam family "Bacterial small subunit ribosomal RNA", at positions 1 to 850 of the family's 1533-position model. The record is from RNAcentral. Lineage: Bacteria; Bacillati; Bacillota; Bacilli; Caryophanales; Bacillaceae.